UCGGGGUGUGACUGCGUACCUUUUGUAUAAUGGGUCAGCGACUUAUAUUCUGUAGCAAGGUUAACCGUAUAGGGGAGCCGGAGGGAAACCGAGUCUUAAUUGGGCGUUAAGUUGCAGGGUAUAGACCCGAAACCCGGUGAUCUAGCCAUGGGCAGGUUGAAGGUUGGGUAACACUAACUGGAGGACCGAACCGACUAAUGUUGAAAAAUUAGCGGAUGACCUGUGGCUGGGGGUGAAAGGCCAAUCAAACCGGGAGAUAGCUGGUUCUCCCCGAAAGCUAUUUAGGUAGCGCCUCGUGAAUUCAUCUCCGGGGGUAGAGCACUGUUUCGGCUAGGGGGCCAUCCCGGCUUACCAACCCGAUGCAAACUGCGAAUACCGGAGAAUGUUAUCACGGGAGACACACGGCGGGUGCUAACGUCCGUCGUGAAGAGGGAAACAACCCAGACCGCCAGCUAAGGUCCCAAAGUCAUGGUUAAGUGGGAAACGAUGUGGGAAGGCCCAGACAGCCAGGAUGUUGGCUUAGAAGCAGCCAUCAUUUAAAGAAAGCGUAAUAGCUCACUGGUCGAGUCGGCCUGCGCGGAAGAUGUAACGGGGCUAAACCAUGCACCGAAGCUGCGGCAGCGAACGUAUCACCCAAGACAACUUUACGGAGUUGACGAUUGACGGAGCGAAGCGACGUCAAAGCGUUCAUUAAAGUCGAGUUGGCUUAGGGAUACGUUCGUUGGGUAGGGGAGCGUUCUGUAAGCCUGUGAAGGUGUGUCGUGAGGCAUGCUGGAGGUAUCAGAAGUGCGAAUGCUGACAUAAGUAACGAUAAAGCGGGUGAAAAGCCCGCUCGCCGGAAGACCAAGGGUUCCUGUCCAACGUUAAUCGGGGCAGGGUGAGUCGACCCCUAAGGCGAGGCCGAAAGGCGUAGUCGAUGGGAAACGGGUUAAUAUUCCCGUACUUGGUGUUACUGCGAAGGGGGGACGGAGAAGGCUAUGUUGGCCGGGCGACGGUUGUCCCGGUUUAAGCGUGUAGGUGUGUGUUCCAGGUAAAUCCGGUUCACUUUAACACUGAGGCGUGACGACGAGGCACUACGGUGCUGAAGCAACAAAUGCCCUGCUUCCAGGAAAA
This 1113-nucleotide ribosomal RNA is filed under the name Salmonella enterica. Its description in RNAcentral is "partial 23S ribosomal RNA". It matches the Rfam family "Bacterial large subunit ribosomal RNA", at positions 586 to 1616 of the family's 2925-position model. The record is from RNAcentral. RNAcentral also lists the same sequence under 1 other name. Lineage: Bacteria; Pseudomonadati; Pseudomonadota; Gammaproteobacteria; Enterobacterales; Enterobacteriaceae.